AUUGAACGCUGGCGGCAUGCCUUACACAUGCAAGUCGAACGGCAGCGGACCUUCGGGUGCCGGCGAGUGGCGAACGGGUGAGUAAUAUAUCGGAACGUACCUUUCAGUGGGGGAUAACGUAGCGAAAGUUACGCUAAUACCGCAUAUUCUGUGAGCAGGAAAGCAGGGGAUCGCAAGACCUUGCGCUGAUUGAGCGGCCGAUAUCAGAUUAGCUAGUUGGUGAGGUAAAGGCUCACCAAGGCGACGAUCUGUAGCGGGUCUGAGAGGAUGAUCCGCCACACUGGAACUGAGACACGGUCCAGACUCCUACGGGAGGCAGCAGUGGGGAAUAUUGGACAAUGGGCGAAAGCCUGAUCCAGCAAUGCCGCGUGUGUGAAGAAGGCCUGAGGGUUGUAAAGCACUUUCAAUCGUGAAGAAAAGUUGCAGGCUAAUACCCUGUGACCUUGACGUUAACGAUACAAGAAGACACCGGCUAAC
Molecule: ribosomal RNA, 477 nt
Filed under: uncultured bacterium
Lineage: Bacteria
Description: bacterial SSU rRNA
Rfam family: Bacterial small subunit ribosomal RNA
Source: RNAcentral